RNAcentral lists this ribosomal RNA (253 nucleotides) under uncultured bacterium. Its description in RNAcentral is "partial 16S ribosomal RNA". It matches the Rfam family "Bacterial small subunit ribosomal RNA", at positions 524 to 776 of the family's 1533-position model. The record is from RNAcentral.
UACGUAGGGGGCAAGCGUUGUCCGGAUUUAUUGGGCGUAAAGGGCGCGUAGGCGGCUCAUGAAGGCUGUGGUGAAAGUCCGGGGCUCAACCUCGGAUCGGCCGUGGCGACUCGUGGGCUGGAGCACUGUAGAGGCGGGUGGAAUUCCGGGUGUAGCGGUGGAAUGCGUAGAGAUCCGGAAGAACACCAGUGGCGAAGGCGGCCCGCUGGGCAGUGGCUGACGCUGAGGCGCGACAGCGUGGGGAGCAAACAGG